AUUGAACGCUGGCGGAAUGCUUUACACAUGCAAGUCGAACGGCAGCACGGGUGCUUGCACCUGGUGGCGAGUGGCGAACGGGUGAGUAAUGCAUCGGAACGUACCCAGUAAUGGGGGAUAACUAUCCGAAAGGAUAGCUAAUACCGCAUACGCCCUGAGGGGGAAAGCGGGGGAUCGUAAGACCUCGCGUUAUUGGAGCGGCCGAUGCCGGAUUAGCUAGAUGGUGGGGUAAAGGCCCACCAAGGCGACGAUCCGUGGCUGGUCUGAGAGGACGACCAGCCACACUGGAACUGAGACACGGUCCAGACUCCUACGGGAGGCAGCAGUGGGGAAUUUUGGACAAUGGGCGAAAGCCUGAUCCAGCCAUUCCGCGUGAGUGAAGAAGGCCUUCGGGUUGUAAAGCUCUUUCGCAAGGAAAGAAAUCUUACCCUCUAACAUAGGGUGAUGAUGACGGUACCUUGAUAAGAAGCACCGGCUAACUACGUGCCAGCAGCCGCGGUAA
RNAcentral lists this ribosomal RNA (502 nucleotides) under uncultured bacterium. Its description in RNAcentral is "partial 16S ribosomal RNA". It matches the Rfam family "Bacterial small subunit ribosomal RNA", at positions 30 to 523 of the family's 1533-position model. The record is from RNAcentral.